Molecule: long non-coding RNA, 553 nt
Organism: Symphalangus syndactylus (siamang)
Lineage: Eukaryota; Metazoa; Chordata; Mammalia; Primates; Hylobatidae
Source: RefSeq, a predicted model, not a curated record
UCAUUUAAUCAUCACAACAAUUCUAUGACGUAGGAAUUCUUCUUUCUGCUUUACAGGCACCAAAGAAGGCCCAGAGAGGUUUAAGAACUUCCUCAGAACCACACAGCUUCCAAAUGGUUGGGCUGGGUUUACAUUCAGGCGGUCUUGCUCCAGAGCCAGUGCUCCCAACCAUUGCAAGCCACGAACCUCAACAAAGUGGAGAAGGAAACGCUGGGAAAUUUGGAAGUCAGACAUGGCAAGAAUAAGUUCUAUUAUCUCCACCCUCUGGAUGAGGAAACUGAAGCAUAAACACUUGCUAAGAUGAAAGGGGUAGUGACCCACUGGAGGAGGGACUUGAGGAAGAGGACACCAAGUGUGACCAAGAGAGUGUUGGAACCAUGAACCAGAACCUGAAGUGGAAGGCAUCCUGGUGCUUCUGUACCUGUGUUACCAGUAUCUUCCCUUGUCUGCUGUGAGCUUUCUCAACGCCCAUCCUACUCAUUCAGUAAGCCCUCAGACUUCAGACUGGAGCAGAACACAGGUAAAUUUCCUGGGCCACUGUAGACCUGGCCAC